RNAcentral lists this ribosomal RNA (463 nucleotides) under Brueelia sp. NsBruLinOli. RNAcentral describes it as "SSU rRNA". It matches the Rfam family "Eukaryotic small subunit ribosomal RNA", at positions 116 to 554 of the family's 1831-position model. RNAcentral also lists the same sequence under 1 other name. Lineage: Eukaryota; Metazoa; Arthropoda; Insecta; Psocodea; Philopteridae. The record is from RNAcentral.
UUCCUUAGAUGGUACGUACAGUUACUUGGAUAACUGUGGCAAUUCUAGAGCUAAUACAUGCAAACCGAGUUCCGACCGCUCAGCAGGCGGAAGGAAUGCUUUUAUUAGAUCAAAACCAAUCGGACUCCUCCGCGGGUCCGUCACGCCUUGGUGACUCUGAAUAACUUCGGGCUGAUCGCACGGUCCCGAACCGGCGACGCAUCUUUCAAAUGUCUGACUUAUCAACUUUCGAUGGUAGGUUCUGCGCCUACCAUGGUCGUAACGGGUAACGGGGAAUCAGGGUUCGAUUCCGGAGAGGGAGCCUGAGAAACGGCUACCACAUCCAAGGAAGGCAGCAGGCGCGCAAAUUACCCACUCCCGGCACGGGGAGGUAGUGACGAAAAAUAACGAUGCAGAACUCUUUCCGAGGCUCUGCAAUCGGAAUGAGCACACUCUAAAUCAUUUAACGAGUAUCCAUUGGAGG